RNAcentral lists this transfer RNA (75 nucleotides) under Oleiphilus sp. HI0066. RNAcentral's name for it is "tRNA-Gln". It matches the Rfam family "tRNA". From Rfam's summary of the family: Transfer RNA (tRNA) molecules are approximately 80 nucleotides in length. Their secondary structure includes four short double-helical elements and three loops (D, anti-codon, and T loops). Lineage: Bacteria; Pseudomonadati; Pseudomonadota; Gammaproteobacteria; Oceanospirillales; Oleiphilaceae. The record is from RNAcentral.
UGGGGUAUCGCCAAGCGGUAAGGCAACGGGUUUUGAUNCCGUCAUGCGGAGGUUCGAAUCCUCCUACCCCAGCCA